This is a long non-coding RNA of Bombus impatiens (common eastern bumble bee), 1332 nucleotides long. RefSeq lists it as uncharacterized. The record is from RefSeq and is a predicted model, not a curated record. The transcript has 3 exons. NCBI's taxonomy places the organism in Eukaryota, Metazoa, Arthropoda, Insecta, Hymenoptera, Apidae.
GCCGAGUGACCUGCAAGGACUUCGAUAAUAUCGAUUUGACCAUGAAACAAAAUAUCGAGGACGAAUCAAAAUUGAGAUUUGGAAUAUCGCCAUUACCGAGCAGAUAAAAUGUUUCAAAUGCUUACUGCAUCAAUCUUAUAGCCAGCUAGUUCGAGGUAACACACCAAGAGGAAAGUAGCGGAGAAUAAGUAAAAAAUACAAAAAUCUUUCGGAAUUGAGAUGAGUUUGCUUGUAGAUAAAUCUGAAUCCAGGAUUUGGUACAAGUGAUGAUGGAAAUAUUGCUCGCUGAUUUUCAUCUAAUGCACCUAAUCUUCAUGAUGAGCAUCCAUCUAAUAAAAAUAGAUUUUUUUUCACACACACUGCUUAGAGACUGCGAAGGAAUUUAUGAAGCUAUAUGGGUGAUAUAACCUGCCAACGGCUGUACAUAAAAUAUUGAUUCAUUUCUUCCAAUUGGAUAACUGGGAGAAGAAGCACAAGAAAAGCACAAGAAAACCGCAACGAAGAUAAAGAAAACAAUAGAAGAUAUUUUUCAUAAUUUGCUUGUAUCCUUGGAUCGAUAUAGCGUAAGCAGUAUAAGAGGAAUAUAACCCACAAAGGCAAAAAAUAUCCCAAAAACGUCAUUCAGUUUUUUGAUAUAAUACUUGGUAUCCUCAAUUUGCCAAAAUUUGCCAAAAAUCAUCCAAAUUUGAUUUUGCAGGAGGGGGAUGAGAAUGAGAACAAGAAGAAGAAGAAUUAACAUCAUAUAGUAAAGAUUAAGAAACUAUUAAAUAUACAUCAGAAUGUAUUUUACAUUUUUAUACUUGUAGAAUCAUAUCUGCAAUUUAUUCCAAUAAUCUAUUUUAGAUUUAAAGAUACUACUUUCAACCAGGAUUUCGACAAAAUUUCUCACUGUGAGACGGGUCGACUAAAGGGCCGAUUAGCAAGAUAUUUUAGUAAGUUGCUCAGUGUGUGAAGGCGAAAAUAUGGUUGACUAGGUUUGUCGACGGUCGACUAGUCGACUCGACCAAUUCUAGACGACCGAUUUAGUCGACCCGCCUGUAACCGCUCUUAUGGAAAAGAUGAAGAUCGUUCGGAGCAAGGCCCGGAUUAUAGGGUGGAUGAUCUCACCCAAAACUACCCAACAGAGAGAAAGGGAUCAAGCUAUGAUAGUGAGAUUCAGAUGCGGUAAUGAGGAAAGAGUCAAUAAAUUCAGGGUAAAAUCAGAGGAGAAGAACUGUAGAUUACGUGGACCAGGAGAAGAGACAAUGGAAAAUUUUAUUGAAGAGUGCGGAUAAGUUGAAAGAGAAGAAGAAUUAAGCAAAAGGAUGCUCAUGUGGGCACAAGAGGAACGAA